CUACACACAUCUAACCCUGAUCACUUCUCCUUUCAGCGCCGUUUGAAACCAUGGUCACACCUCUUCAAGCAUGCAUAGAUGCGGUGUUGAGGUGAGGAGAAGCCACGAAGCCUUAUGCACCGCCUCACCCAUUUUCUUUUCUUCUAUCUCUUGUUAAUAGCACUUCUCAUUUUCUUUGAACCAAAACACGCAUAAACGAAGGAGAAGAACAGAGAAGGGGAGCAAAACGAAACUAAGGAGGAAGAAAGAAGCCAUCCGCAGCAAGAAGGAAGGCACCCCACCUCUCAUCACUCUGAAUCUUCGAAGCUUCUUUGGUGGGUGAGAACCAGCAACUCUCCUUCUUCCUCUUCUUCAGAUUCAAAUUCUGUUCUUCCCUUUUAUUCCACCUCUGCCAUUCUAAUUCCAAUUCUUGCUAGAACAGUAGUGACCGUAGGCAAGAACUCUUCCCUUGCUUGAGGUGAGGUCGGCCAUUCGUUCUUGAAAGAGAGGCUAAAGCUCCAAUUCCAUACGGUUAGGGUUCUGAUUCCGGAAAGAAGUAAAUAUAGACUUUCCAACUUCAAAAGAGAGGAGCUCUUUGAGUUUCGUUCUAACUUCUGAGCUAUGAGGAUCCAGUGCACGGCGGAGUCUUCAUAUGGAGCACGCUUUGGACCGCUUUCUAGAACCAUGUUCGGAGAUCACUCCAAAGUUAGUCGCAGUGAAUCUUUCGCUCCUUUUUGAUGAUCUUAGUAUUACUUUCCCCUCGCUUUUGUAGUACUUUUAGAGGGGUAGGAUGUCUUAGUAGUUCGGUUCCAGUUUAGGAAACCCGUGUGAAGGUUGGGACUAUUUUUCUUUACUUUUGACUCUGUAAUAUAACUUGGUGUAGUACUCGUUAUUUUGAUAAUUGGCAUGUAUCCUCAAACUUAUGUUUAUAUGAUUAAUAUAUG
This is a non-coding RNA of Arachis ipaensis, 923 nucleotides long. The record is from RefSeq and is a predicted model, not a curated record. Lineage: Eukaryota; Viridiplantae; Streptophyta; Magnoliopsida; Fabales; Fabaceae.